GUUGCGCCCAGGACAACACUUGCUGCAGCCAAGAAACAGAAAGUAUAUCUCUAUUCGUUCAUCCCCUUGGUCUUAGGGUUGCCCCUAAGACGACGUACAUACCACCUCCUGACACCGCCGUACCGGAAAGCACUUUUCCGGUACGGGCAGAGCCAGCAGCAUUCCAGGUUCAGAAUUGAACCCAAAGGCAGAAAUCACCAUUCUGAGAGUUGAACGUCGCCAUCCAUGAUUUAGACAUACCAUUCCAUGGCCUGUGCAUGCGCGUCCAUGUCCUUCACUACGUUGCUGCUUGCGGCCAAGAAACAAGUGAUGCAAAACGUUGCCUCAUGUCCAUCCGUCCGGUCCACACACGUAAGAGCAAUUUUCCAUAACACGGGAUGUAAGCACCGUUCGGGAUGUCCGUCGUGUUUGCCUCAGGAAGUCGUCCUCCCGGCGGCGGAUCGGGCCCUAAGCACCGGCCGGUACCAGCUGGUACCAGCUCCUGGAGCCGCUUAAUCGAUGCUGAUCGUGAUGUGUAAUUGGUCCAGCAUAAAGCACAUUCUUCAUCAUCCGGAAGGGAUCCCUUAGCCAUAGUACAUGUAAAGGAUGCGCAGGACAAGCAGUGUAAGAGGUAAUCGGAAAAGAACGCAAAAAAGACUGUUCCGUCCAAAUAGCUAACAAGCUGUACCUUAGCGGAAUGCAGGGCGCUUCUAACAUACAUGCCACCCUUUGGAAGUCAUGUUGUAGGCUUGUCCUGUUUGGUUUAUGUUAGCAUUGCAUUAAGAAGUUCAACGUGAUACCUGCAGGUUAACUGUUUACUGAUAAUUAGUUAUUCGGCGGCGUGCGCAUAUCAUUCCCUUACUUCGCCGGCAGGUCCAUGGAAAGUCCCCGAAAAGAUUACAUAACGUUGCAAAACUCCUUUCAGUGCUUUCGGAAAGAGGCCCUAGAUCUUGAGACCCUGGUAAGCCAGAAAUCUCUGACGGCUAGCGCUGUAAGCGCACCUUUUCCAUCUCCUGUAUUUUCAAAGCAUACACACGAGCGAUACUUAAGAAUACGAAAAUUUUAAACAGUUUAACAGUUCAUGUGGAAGCGUUUGCGGUGCAACUGGCGCGAACAGGACACCAGAGGUCACAGGAAUUACAGCUCUUAUGACUACUAGCAGUAUGUGUGCGUGGUUGUUACAGCAGUAGAUCUUAGGGACGAGGGGUAC
This 1189-nucleotide long non-coding RNA is filed under the name Volvox carteri. RNAcentral describes it as "long non-coding RNA (VCAR_LNC003578)". Lineage: Eukaryota; Viridiplantae; Chlorophyta; Chlorophyceae; Chlamydomonadales; Volvocaceae. The record is from RNAcentral.